UCUGUACAUACGGCUGACGGGUCGAUUCUCUUUUAUCUUUAAGCAUCUUUCGGGGACUCUGUGUGUGUGCGGUGGUGGUGUUUGGCGGGGGUGGUGGAGGUGGCUUGGGUCAAGGUUGAGGCGUGCUGUUUUUCAUCAAGCUCUAAUGGCUACGAAGAUGAUGAUGAUUUGCUGAUGUCUUCGGAUUUUUAAUAGAGGAGUUGCGUUACCAGAGAAGCAAGUUUUGAUGCUAAAAUGGGAGGGAGUGUGACUUGUUGCGAUUUUGUUUCCAGGCAACAUGCAUUGAAGAAAGCCAGAGAAAAGAAAAUAAUACUCCAAAUGAAAGUGAUAGAGAGUUGUGACUG
Pelmatolapia mariae (spotted tilapia) is the source of this 344-nucleotide long non-coding RNA. RefSeq lists it as uncharacterized. The transcript has 2 exons. Lineage: Eukaryota; Metazoa; Chordata; Actinopteri; Cichliformes; Cichlidae. The record is from RefSeq and is a predicted model, not a curated record.